This 2603-nucleotide long non-coding RNA is filed under the name Marmota monax (woodchuck). Lineage: Eukaryota; Metazoa; Chordata; Mammalia; Rodentia; Sciuridae. The record is from RNAcentral.
GUUAUCUCUAGAAGGGAGAGAGUAGAUGAAAUCAGAGUGGGGCACACAGAAGGCUUUUACUGGAUUUGUCAAGUUUUGUUUCUCAAGCCCAGAAGUGAGUCAGGAAUUUCUCUUCUACUGUUUACAUCUUCUGGUUUUACUUUUUUUAAUAUAUCAUAUUUUUUAAAAAAUACUUAUUUUUUAGUUGUAGUUGGAAACAAUACCUUUAUUUUAUUUAUUUAUUUUUAUGUGGUGCUGAGACUCAAACCCAGGGCUUCACACAUGGCUAGGUGAGUACUUUACCACUGAGCUACAAUCCCGACCCUAUAUCACAAUUUUUUACAAUAUCCCCAGAGCUCAAUGCCAUCUGACGAAAUGGGCCAAGCACUCUUGGAAUGCAUUGCUUUCUUUGGAUCUUGGCUGUGAAUGAGCUUACAUCUCACAUAAAAGAAGGAAGAUAAUUCAGAAGUCCAUCAUAGACAAAUAAGUGCUGCCUGGAUUUUCUUGAACAAUACUCAGCAAACCACUAGUAUAGAUUACAUGCUCUGCCCUCAACCCAGGAGCCAGUAGGGGAAGGAACAAUAAUUUUUAAAGCCAGAGAUAGAUUUAGGUUUGCAUUCUGACAUAGACACGAUUUAUUCUCAGUUUCUUCAUUAUUCAGUGGAACUAAAACAAACCUUCCUCAUUGAAUUUUUAGAAGACUGAAUCAGUUACUUCAUUCGAAGUGCCUGAUAUGCAGUACGUGCUCGUAAAUAAUGUGGUCAUGAUCAAGGCAAAUCAUCAGUCUAGGGGAGCCUCUUUUGAUUCUCUUAUUCUUUCUUUCUCCCCGUAUCUGCCAUUUUCAAAUUUGCCCUGUAAUAAAAUAUUCUCAUUCAAAUAGGUUUCCUGAGGCUUAUGGUAACAUGCACCCAAAUUUACUGUUCAGAUGAUUUUCUAGUUAUUUCUGAACUUAGAAAUUAAGAGGAAAAAAUAAGUGUUCUACUUAGUCACAUUUCUUUCUUCCUUAAAUGCACUAGUUGAGGUCAUGAGACUAUUACCUCAGAGUGCUCAGACAUUACUAAAACAAAUUACUCUGGGUCAGUAUAAGGGGAGCCCUAACACUCAUUCCAGCUGAGGAGGUGGAGAGGCCCCUUGAGGAGAAGUGAAAGAAAGGAUCUCUUGUUGGCUCACAGAUGCCAUUAUUUAGAAAUGGUUUGUUUUGCUAAUAUGACCAGAUGACUCCAAGCCAUAUAUAAAAACAACCCACGCUGGCCACACUGCUUUGCUUGAUGAGUGUCCUAUAAAAGGCAGUUAACCUAGACUCAAGGGCAUAAGUCUAUUUGGGGAUAAACUCUUCAAGGAUUGCAUUGUCUGCUGCCGAGAAUGACUCCUAGUGAGUUGCUAACAGGAAGUCACAGGCUUGAAUGUUUUACCCCUCCACUUCUUGGUGAGGUGGCAUGAGUAAACUGCUUCAUUUCUUCAUUUUUAAACCAGGGAUCAUAAUAACUUACAUAGUUCUGAUAAAAUUCAAGAGAAUAUUAUGGAAGAAUCUGGAAUGGAACCAGAUGCCUGGUAAGCAUUCAAAAUAUGUUAGGUGACAUGUGAACUGACUCAGUAGGUCAACUUGGACUUGUAACUUCAAAUUUCAGCUCCUAGUUUCAAGAUGGUAGGGAUUAAAUGGAGUGCAAAGAAUGCUAGACUUGCAGUUGAGGAGAAAAACUAAAUUGUUCUUACUACUUGCCAGGUGUCUUUGGACAAAUUUCUGAACUUUUUGAGUCUGAUUUUCUUAAUGUACAAAAUGGGACAUAACAAUAUCUUCCCUCUCUACUUUCAAGAUUGUUGAAGGGGACAAGGUUUGUCACUGUGGGUCACCAACUUCACGUUCUGCAUUCUUCAUGUUUCUAAAAUUAACAACUAUUGUUUAGCAUGCAUUUGUGUUUUCUCAAAUUACUAACUUCUGAUGAAAAGGACAGACUUUUAAAAGUCCAGUGGAAGAAUUAUAGCUAGGUUCUGGAAUUCUGCAAUCUGCUCUUUUGCAAAGGCAAACAGUAUCUCCAUAGCAGAGUACUUGUAACAACAAUGAUUAAGAUAAUUAUCCACCUCUGGAGAAAUACCACCACAUUCUCUGAACUUAUGCUUUCAACUUCAAUAAAAUUGAAUAAUUCCAUAAUGAUUUAAAUCCCAGAAUUAUCUUUACCUAAACAGAGUCUGGAUAAUAGUUUCUGAACACUUGGGAAAUCAAAUUUUACCAUCAAUGGCUGUAUUUUAGGGUAAAUCAAAGAAUAAAGUUUAUGAAAUCCUGAGUUUAUUUAAAGGAUUCAAACCAAGUAAAUUGGGUGGUAUUCUAGCGCAUGAAGUAUAUGUGGAAGUUUAUAUAACCUUGCCUGAAAGAAAAUAACUCAAGACAUAUUUUAGUUUAAUUGAAUAGAAAAUGUUCAAGGCAAUUUAUCUUACUCUCUUCAAUUUGGAAAAAAAAAUCCUCUUUAAUGUCUAAAUAAUGCAAGAAUGCCUUCUUACACAUACACACACACACACACACACACACACAAUGUAAAUGUUCCAGAUAGUGUAAGUCCCUUUUAUCACCAUUCCCCUUCUCAAAGUUGCAAAAGUUACUAUUAUUAUCAGCUCAUGGUGUAUCCUUC